GAAAUUAUUUUUUUCUUGUUUGGAACAAUUUGUUGGUAAUGCAUGAACCCCAUCAUCAUUGAGAGGCUACAGCGAAAGCUGGGUUACACGUUUCAAC
Non-coding RNA from Pragia fontium, 97 nucleotides. The record is from Rfam. NCBI's taxonomy places the organism in Bacteria, Pseudomonadati, Pseudomonadota, Gammaproteobacteria, Enterobacterales, Budviciaceae.